This is a non-coding RNA of Balaenoptera acutorostrata (minke whale), 450 nucleotides long. The record is from the annotation of a RefSeq genome assembly. NCBI's taxonomy places the organism in Eukaryota, Metazoa, Chordata, Mammalia, Artiodactyla, Balaenopteridae.
AUGGACAGAUUCCUGGGCCUGCUCGUCCUUUGGUUACAACUAGACUGGGUGAGCGGUAAACAGGACGUGGACCAGAGACCUGAUGCUCUGACCAUGCGAGAGGGAGAAAGCUUGGUUCUCAACUGCAGUUACACCGAUAGUGCUCCUUACUUCCUUCAGUGGUUUAGGCAAGAUCCUGGGAAAGGGCUUACAUCCCUGUUGUUAAUUCAGGCGAGUCAGAGAGAACAAACAAGUGGAAGAAUUAAAGCCUCGUGGGAUAAAUCGUCAAGACACAGUGCUUUAUACAUUGCAACUUCUCAGCCCAGCGACUCCGCCACCCGCCUCUGUGCUGUGAGGCACACUGCACAACAGGCACUUGCCAUCAAUAUGCAAACUCUGCAACUGGGGCUCCAACCAUGUCCUGUCUUGAUGCUGGGGAACCUUUUUCCAUUAAGGGCUUUUCUACAUUGA